AGCGAACGCUGGCGGCAGGCCUAACACAUGCAAGUCGAACGGACCCUUCGGGGUUAGUGGCGGACGGGUGAGUAACACGUGGGAACGUGCCUUUAGGUUCGGAAUAGCUCCUGGAAACGGGUGGUAAUGCCGAAUGUGCCCUUCGGGGGAAAGAUUUAUCGCCUUUAGAGCGGCCCGCGUCUGAUUAGCUAGUUGGUGAGGUAACGGCUCACCAAGGCGACGAUCAGUAGCUGGUCUAAGAGGAUGACCAGCCACACUGGGACUGAGACACGGCCCAGACUCCUACGGGAGGCAGCAGUGGGGAAUCUUGCGCAAUGGGCGAAAGCCUGACGCAGCCAUGCCGCGUGAAUGAUGAAGGUCUUAGGAUUGUAAAAUUCUUUCACCGGGGACGAUAAUGACGGUACCCGGAGAAGAAGCCCCGGCUAACUUCGUG
Molecule: ribosomal RNA, 433 nt
Filed under: uncultured bacterium
Lineage: Bacteria
Description: partial 16S ribosomal RNA
Rfam family: Bacterial small subunit ribosomal RNA
Source: RNAcentral